RNAcentral lists this ribosomal RNA (468 nucleotides) under uncultured bacterium. Its description in RNAcentral is "partial 16S ribosomal RNA". It matches the Rfam family "Bacterial small subunit ribosomal RNA", at positions 28 to 507 of the family's 1533-position model. The record is from RNAcentral.
GACGAACGCUGGCGGCGUGCUUAACACAUGCAAGUCGAACGGAAAGGCCCUGCUUUUGUGGGGUGCUCGAGUGGCGAACGGGUGAGUAACACGUGAGUAACCUGCCCUUGACUUUGGGAUAACUUCAGGAAACUGGGGCUAAUACCGGAUAGGAGCUCCUGCUGCAUGGUGGGGGUUGGAAAGUUUCGGCGGUUGUGGAUGGAUUCGCGGCUUAUCAGCUUGUUGGUGGGGUAGUGGCUUACCAAGGCUUUGACGGGUAGCCGGCCUGAGAGGGUGACCGGCCACAUGGCUACUGAGAGACGGCCCAGACUCCUACGGGAGGCAGAAGGGGAGAAUAUUGCACAAUGGGCGGAAGCCUGAUGCAGAAACGCCGCGUGCGGGAUGACGGCCUUCGGGGUGUAAACCGCUUUCGCAUGUGACGAAGCGUGAGUGACGGUAAUGGGUAAAGAAGCACCGGCUAACUACGUG